RNAcentral lists this ribosomal RNA (254 nucleotides) under uncultured bacterium. Its description in RNAcentral is "partial 16S ribosomal RNA". It matches the Rfam family "Bacterial small subunit ribosomal RNA", at positions 524 to 776 of the family's 1533-position model. The record is from RNAcentral.
UACGAAGGGGGCUAGCGUUGUUCGGAAUUACUGGGCGUAAAGCGCGCGCAGGCGGUCUUCCAAGUCAGUGGUGAAAGCCUGGAGCUCAACUCCAGAACUGCCAUUGAAACUGUUAGACUUGAGUACGAGAGAGGUGAGUGGAAUUCCCAGUGUAGAGGUGAAAUUCGUAGAUAUUGGGAAGAACACCAGUGGCGAAGGCGGCUCACUGGCUCGUAACUGACGCUCAGGCGCGACAGCGUGGGGGAUCAAACAGG